Molecule: ribosomal RNA, 1443 nt
Filed under: uncultured organism
Description: SSU rRNA
Rfam family: Bacterial small subunit ribosomal RNA
Source: RNAcentral
AACGCUAGCUACAGGCUUAACACAUGCAAGUCGAGGGGCAGCAUGGUCUUAGCUUGCUAAGGCCGAUGGCGACCGGCGCACGGGUGAGUAACACGUAUCCAACCUGCCGUCUACUCUUGGACAGCCUUCUGAAAGGAAGAUUAAUACAAGAUGGCAUCAUGAGUCCGCAUGUUCACAUGAUUAAAGGUAUUCCGGUAGACGAUGGGGAUGCGUUCCAUUAGAUAGUAGGCGGGGUAACGGCCCACCUAGUCUUCGAUGGAUAGGGGUUCUGAGAGGAAGGUCCCCCACAUUGGAACUGAGACACGGUCCAAACUCCUACGGGAGGCAGCAGUGAGGAAUAUUGGUCAAUGGGCGAGAGCCUGAACCAGCCAAGUAGCGUGAAGGAUGACUGCCCUAUGGGUUGUAAACUUCUUUUAUAAAGGAAUAAAGUCGGGUAUGGAUACCCGUUUGCAUGUACUUUAUGAAUAAGGAUCGGCUAACUCCGUGCCAGCAGCCGCGGUAAUACGGAGGAUCCGAGCGUUAUCCGGAUUUAUUGGGUUUAAAGGGAGCGUAGAUGGAUGUUUAAGUCAGUUGUGAAAGUUUGCGGCACAACCGUAAAAUUGCAGUUGAUACUGGAUAUCUUGAGUGCAGUUGAGGCAGGCGGAAUUCGUGGUGUAGCGGUGAAAUGCUUAGAUAUCACGAAGAACUCCGAUUGCGAAGGCAGCCUGCUAAGCUGCAACUGACAUUGAGGCUCGAAAGUGUGGGUAUCAAACAGGAUUAGAUACCCUGGUAGUCCACACGGUAAACGAUGAAUACUCGCUGUUUGCGAUAUACAGCAAGCGGCCAAGCGAAAGCGUUAAGUAUUCCACCUGGGGAGUACGCCGGCAACGGUGAAACUCAAAGGAAUUGACGGGGGCCCGCACAAGCGGAGGAACAUGUGGUUUAAUUCGAUGAUACGCGAGGAACCUUACCCGGGCUUAAAUUGCAGAUGAAUUACGGUGAAAGCCGUAAGCCGCAAGGCAUCUGUGAAGGUGCUGCAUGGUUGUCGUCAGCUCGUGCCGUGAGGUGUCGGCUUAAGUGCCAUAACGAGCGCAACCCUUGUUGUCAGUUACUAACAGGUUCCGCUGAGGACUCUGACAAGACUGCCAUCGUAAGAUGUGAGGAAGGUGGGGAUGACGUCAAAUCAGCACGGCCCUUACGUCCGGGGCUACACACGUGUUACAAUGGGGGGUACAGAGGGCCGCUACCACGCGAGUGGAUGCCAAUCCCCAAAACCUCUCUCAGUUCGGACUGGAGUCUGCAACCCGACUCCACGAAGCUGGAUUCGCUAGUAAUCGCGCAUCAGCCACGGCGCGGUGAAUACGUUCCCGGGCCUUGUACACACCGCCCGUCAAGCCAUGGGAGCCGGGGGUACCUGAAGUGCGUAACCGCGAGGAGCGCCCUAGGGUAAAACUGGUGACUGGG